This 301-nucleotide ribosomal RNA is filed under the name uncultured bacterium. Its description in RNAcentral is "partial 16S ribosomal RNA". It matches the Rfam family "Bacterial small subunit ribosomal RNA", at positions 509 to 807 of the family's 1533-position model. The record is from RNAcentral.
CAGUCGCCACGGUAAUACGAAGGGGGCUAGCGUUGUUCGGAUUUACUGGGCGUAAAGCGCACGUAGGCGGACUUUUAAGUCAGGGGUGAAAUCCCGGGGCUCAACCCCGGAACUGCCUUUGAUACUGGAAGUCUUGAGUAUGGUAGAGGUGAGUGGAAUUCCGAGUGUAGAGGUGAAAUUCGUAGAUAUUCGGAGGAACACCAGUGGCGAAGGCGGCUCACUGGACCAUUACUGACGCUGAGGUGCGAAAGCGUGGGGAGCAAACAGGAUUAGAUACCCGUGUAGUCCCUGUCUCUUAUAC